This 379-nucleotide ribosomal RNA is filed under the name uncultured cyanobacterium. RNAcentral describes it as "bacterial SSU rRNA". It matches the Rfam family "Bacterial small subunit ribosomal RNA", at positions 376 to 770 of the family's 1533-position model. The record is from RNAcentral. Lineage: Bacteria; Bacillati; Cyanobacteriota.
CGAAAGCCUGACGGAGCAAGACCGCGUGAGGGAGGAAGGCUCUUGGGUUGUAAACCUCUUUUCUCAGGGAAGAAGCUCUGACGGUACCUGAGGAAUCAGCCUCGGCUAACUCCGUGCCAGCAGCCGCGGUAAUACGGAGGGGGCAAGCGUUAUCCGGAAUUAUUGGGCGUAAAGCGUCCGCAGGUGGCGAUUCAAGUCUGCUGUCAAAACCCAGGGCUCAACUCUGGUCAGGCAGUGGAAACUACAUAGCUAGAGCUCGGUAGGGGCAAAGGGAAUUCCCGGUGUAGCGGUGAAAUGCGUAGAGAUCGGGAAGAACAUCGGUGGCGAAAGCGCUUUGCUAGACCGAAACUGACACUCAGGGACGAAAGCUAGGGGAGCG